AGUGAACGCUGGCGGUAGGCCUAACACAUGCAAGUCGAACGGCAGCACAGUAAGAGCUUGCUCUUACGGGUGGCGAGUGGCGGACGGGUGAGGAAUACAUCGGAAUCUACUUUUUCGUGGGGGAUAACGUAGGGAAACUUACGCUAAUACCGCAUACGACCUACGGGUGAAAGCAGGGGAUCUUCGGACCUUGCGCGAUUGAAUGAGCCGAUGUCGGAGUAGCUAGUUGGCGGGGUAAAGGCCCACCAAGGCGACGAUCCGUAGCUGGUCUGAGAGGAUGAUCAGCCACACUGGAACUGAGCAACGGUCCAGGCACCUACGGGAGGCAGCAGUGGGGAAUAUUGGACAAUGGGCGCAAGCCUGAUCCAGCCAUACCGCGUGGGUGAAGAAGGCCUUCGGGUUGUAAAGCCCUUUUGUUGGGAAAGAAAAGCAGCAGGUUAAUACCCCGCUGUUCUGACGGUACCCAAAGAAUAAGCACCGGCUAACUUCGU
This 491-nucleotide ribosomal RNA is filed under the name uncultured bacterium. Its description in RNAcentral is "partial 16S ribosomal RNA". It matches the Rfam family "Bacterial small subunit ribosomal RNA", at positions 29 to 506 of the family's 1533-position model. The record is from RNAcentral.